RNAcentral lists this ribosomal RNA (496 nucleotides) under uncultured bacterium. RNAcentral describes it as "partial 16S ribosomal RNA". It matches the Rfam family "Bacterial small subunit ribosomal RNA", at positions 28 to 507 of the family's 1533-position model. The record is from RNAcentral.
GAUGAACGCUGGCGGCGUGCCUAAUACAUGCAAGUCGAGCGAACAGACGAGGAGCUUGCUCCUCUGACGUUAGCGGCGGUCGGGUGAGUAACACGUGUAUAACCUACCUAUAAGACUGGGAUAACUUCGGGAAACCGGAUCUAAUACCGGAUAAUAUAUUGAACCGCAUGGUUCAAUAGUGAAAGACGGUUUUGCUGUCACUAAUAGAUGGAUCCGCGCCGCAGUAGCUAGUUGGUAGGGUAACGGCUUACCAAGGCAACGAUGCGUAGCCGACCGGAGGGGGUGUCCGGCCACCCGGAACUGGAAACGCGGCCGAGCCCCCCAGGGGGGGACGAGAGGGGAAUUUUGGCGAAUGGGGGGAAACCGGAAGGGGGCAACCCGGGGGGGGUAAGAAGGUUUUUGGAUUGGAAAACCUUUUUUGUUGGGAGAAAAAAAAGGAGAAUGAAACCUUGCCGUUUUGACGGUACCUAAACAAAAAGGACCGGCUAACUUCGUG